This 253-nucleotide ribosomal RNA is filed under the name uncultured bacterium. Its description in RNAcentral is "partial 16S ribosomal RNA". It matches the Rfam family "Bacterial small subunit ribosomal RNA", at positions 524 to 776 of the family's 1533-position model. The record is from RNAcentral.
UACGUAGGGCGCGAGCGUUGUCCGGAUUUAUUGGGCGUAAAGGGCUCGUAGGCGGUUUGUCGCGUCGGGAGUGAAAUCCACUGGCUUAACUGGUGGCUUGCUUUCGAUACGGGCAGACUGGAGGUAUGCAGGGGAGAACGGAAUCCCUGGUGUAGCGGUGAAAUGCGCAGAUAUCAGGAGGAACACCGGUGGCGAAGGCGGUUCUCUGGGCAUGUCCUGACGCUGAGGAGCGAAAGUGUGGGGAGCGAACAGG